GCAUAUCAAUAAGCGGAGGAAAAGAAACCAACAGGGAUUGCCCUAGUAACGGCGAGUGAAGCGGCAACAGCUCAAAUUUGAAAUCUGGCCUCGGCCCGAGUUGUAAUUUGCAGAGGAUGCUUCUGGCGCGGUGCCUUCCGAGUUCCCUGGAACGGGACGCCACAGAGGGUGAGAGCCCCGUAUGGUCGGACACCAAGCCUGUGUGAAGCUCCUUCGACGAGUCGAGUAGUUUGGGAAUGCUGCUCUAAAUGGGAGGUAAAUCUCUUCUAAAGCUAAAUACCGGCCAGAGACCGAUAGCGCACAAGUAGAGUGAUCGAAAGAUGAAAAGCACCUUGAAAAGGGGGUUAAAUAGUACGUGAAAUUGUUGAAAGGGAAGCACUUAUGACCAGACUUGGGCCGGGCGGCUCAUCAGGGGUUCUCCCCUGUGCACUCCGCCCGGCACAGGCCAGCAUCGGUUUUCGCGGGGGGAUAAGACCGACGGGAACGUAGCACCCUCCGGGGUGUGUUAUAGCCCGGCGGACGAUACCCUCGCGGGGACCGAGGACCGCGCUUCGGCAAGGAUGCUGGCGUAAUGGUCAUCAGUGACCCGUCUUGAAACACGGACCAAGGAGUCGUCCAUUAGAGCGAGCGUUUGGGUGUAAAACCCGCACGCGUAAUGAAAGUGAACGCAGGUGAGAGCUUCGGCGCAUCAUCGACCGAUCCUGAUGUUCUCGGAAGGAUUUGAGUAAGAGUUUUAACGGACGGACCCGAAAGACAGUGAACUAUGCUUGUAUAGGGUGAAGCCAGAGGAAACUCUGGUGGAGGCUCGCAGCGGUUCUGACGUGCAAAUCGAUCGUC
Molecule: ribosomal RNA, 837 nt
Filed under: Diaporthe phaseolorum
Lineage: Eukaryota; Fungi; Ascomycota; Sordariomycetes; Diaporthales; Diaporthaceae
Description: LSU rRNA
Rfam family: Eukaryotic large subunit ribosomal RNA
Source: RNAcentral